This 199-nucleotide long non-coding RNA is filed under the name Glycine max (soybean). Its description in RNAcentral is "long non-coding RNA (GMAX_LNC003874)". Lineage: Eukaryota; Viridiplantae; Streptophyta; Magnoliopsida; Fabales; Fabaceae. The record is from RNAcentral.
GGACUUUCAUUCGUAUUUGUGUUCUUAUUUGAUAUUUCCAUUUAAUCAAAAUAGGACAUCAUGUUCUUUAUGCAAAAAGCUUGUGUCUCCCGUGAAGCUUUAGCUAUUUUCCAAAACUAAAAGCUAGCUACCCUUGUUAGGACCACUGUGUUGCUGGGUUAGGUUCCAACCUUAUUGCGCACACUUUUUCCAUUUGUAA